AUCCAGCUGACGAGUCUCAAAUAGGACGAAACGCGCGUCGUGGAU
Molecule: non-coding RNA, 45 nt
Filed under: Schistosoma margrebowiei
Lineage: Eukaryota; Metazoa; Platyhelminthes; Trematoda; Strigeidida; Schistosomatidae
Source: RNAcentral